This 889-nucleotide ribosomal RNA is filed under the name Salmonella enterica subsp. enterica serovar Stanley. Its description in RNAcentral is "partial 23S ribosomal RNA". It matches the Rfam family "Bacterial large subunit ribosomal RNA", at positions 1269 to 2141 of the family's 2925-position model. Lineage: Bacteria; Pseudomonadati; Pseudomonadota; Gammaproteobacteria; Enterobacterales; Enterobacteriaceae. The record is from RNAcentral.
GUUGCUGGAGGUAUCAGAAGUGCGAAUGCUGACAUAAGUAACGAUAAAGCGGGUGAAAAGCCCGCUCGCCGGAAGACCAAGGGUUCCUGUCCAACGUUAAUCGGGGCAGGGUGAGUCGACCCCUAAGGCGAGGCCGAAAGGCGUAGUCGAUGGGAAACGGGUUAAUAUUCCCGUACUUGGUGUUACUGCGAAGGGGGGACGGAGAAGGCUAUGUUGGCCGGGCGACGGUUGUCCCGGUUUAAGCGUGUAGGUGUGUGUUCCAGGUAAAUCCGGUUCACUUUAACACUGAGGCGUGACGACGAGGCACUACGGUGCUGAAGCAACAAAUGCCCUGCUUCCAGGAAAAGCCUCUAAGCAUCAGGUAACAUCAAAUCGUACCCCAAACCGACACAGGUGGUCAGGUAGAGAAUACCAAGGCGCUUGAGAGAACUCGGGUGAAGGAACUAGGCAAAAUGGUGCCGUAACUUCGGGAGAAGGCACGCUGACACGUAGGUGAAGUGAUUUACUCAUGGAGCUGAAGUCAGUCGAAGAUACCAGCUGGCUGCAACUGUUUAUUAAAAACACAGCACUGUGCAAACACGAAAGUGGACGUAUACGGUGUGACGCCUGCCCGGUGCCGGAAGGUUAAUUGAUGGGGUCAGCGCAAGCGAAGCUCCUGAUCGAAGCCCCGGUAAACGGCGGCCGUAACUAUAACGGUCCUAAGGUAGCGAAAUUCCUUGUCGGGUAAGUUCCGACCUGCACGAAUGGCGUAAUGAUGGCCAGGCUGUCUCCACCCGAGACUCAGUGAAAUUGAACUCGCUGUGAAGAUGCAGUGUACCCGCGGCAAGACGGAAAGACCCCGUGAACCUUUACUAUAGCUUGACACUGAACAUUGAGCCUUGAUGUGUAG